ACUAAGGUGGCAGAUUUAUGCAAGAAAUUUAGAAUUUCUUUAAGGUUACAACCCUUUAGUU
Molecule: transfer RNA, 61 nt
Filed under: Leipothrix sp. 1 XFX-2017
Lineage: Eukaryota; Metazoa; Arthropoda; Arachnida; Trombidiformes; Eriophyidae
Description: tRNA-Leu
Source: RNAcentral